GGAGAGAUGGCAGAGCGGUUUAAUGCAGCGGUCUUGAAAACCGCCGAUGGUUAGUAGCCAUCCGUGAGUUCGAAUCUCACUCUCUCCGCCA
This 91-nucleotide transfer RNA is filed under the name Rheinheimera sp. RNAcentral describes it as "tRNA-Ser". It matches the Rfam family "tRNA". From Rfam's summary of the family: Transfer RNA (tRNA) molecules are approximately 80 nucleotides in length. Their secondary structure includes four short double-helical elements and three loops (D, anti-codon, and T loops). Lineage: Bacteria; Pseudomonadati; Pseudomonadota; Gammaproteobacteria; Chromatiales; Chromatiaceae. The record is from RNAcentral.